AUUUAAAUAGUUUAUGUUAAAAUAAGGACUUGUGGUGUCUUAGAAAAACAGUUGUUUUUUAAAUA
Molecule: transfer RNA, 65 nt
Filed under: Ptenothrix huangshanensis
Lineage: Eukaryota; Metazoa; Arthropoda; Collembola; Symphypleona; Dicyrtomidae
Description: tRNA-His
Source: RNAcentral